Equus quagga is the source of this 290-nucleotide long non-coding RNA. RefSeq lists it as uncharacterized. Lineage: Eukaryota; Metazoa; Chordata; Mammalia; Perissodactyla; Equidae. The transcript has 3 exons. The record is from RefSeq and is a predicted model, not a curated record.
CCUCGAUGAACAAAGGGAAGCUUCACGCACUCGGCUGCGGUGGUUUGCCCAAGGAAGAAACCUGGUGGUCAUCAUAGACUGUGUCCUGUUCUUUACUACUUCUGCCCAGCAAACCCACACACUCAUCCAGUGACCCAAUUACUUUUGUAACUCUCCAAAAGACUCAUAGAAAAUCAAGCUGAUUUACUACCAAGAUGUACAGUGGAAAAAAAAUUACCUUAACAAUGAGACAAAUGAUCCACAUUGCUAUAAUUGUGUAAGAGGUGCUUUCUCAAUGUGCUUACUAUACU